AUUGGACAAUGGGCGCAAGCCUGAUCCAGCCAUACCGCGUGGGUGAAGAAGGCCUUCGGGUUGUAAAGCCCUUUUGUUGGGAAAGAAAUCCAGCUGGCUAAUACCCGGUUGGGAUGACGGUACCCAAAGAAUAAGCACCGGCUAACUUCGUGCCAGCAGCCGCGGUAAUACGAAGGGUGCAAGCGUUACUCGGAAUUACUGGGCGUAAAGCGUGCGUAGGUGGUCGUUUAAGUCCGUUGUGAAAGCCCUGGGCUCAACCUGGGAACUGCAGUGGAUACUGGGCGACUAGAGUGUGGUAGAGGGUAGCGGAAUUCCUGGUGUAGCAGUGAAAUGCGUAGAGAUCAGGAGGAACAUCCAUGGCGAAGGCAGCUACCUGGACCAACACUGACACUGAGGCACGAAAGCGUGGGGAGCAAACAGGAUUAGAUACCCUGGUAGUCCACGCCCUAAACGAUGCGAACUGGAUGUUGGGUGCAAUUUGGCACGCAGUAUCGAAGCUAACGCGUUAAGUUCGCCGCCUGGGGAGUACGGUCGCAAGACUGAAACUCA
This 549-nucleotide ribosomal RNA is filed under the name Stenotrophomonas sp. TK49. RNAcentral's name for it is "bacterial SSU rRNA". It matches the Rfam family "Bacterial small subunit ribosomal RNA", at positions 363 to 903 of the family's 1533-position model. Lineage: Bacteria; Pseudomonadati; Pseudomonadota; Gammaproteobacteria; Lysobacterales; Lysobacteraceae. RNAcentral also lists the same sequence under 1 other name. The record is from RNAcentral.